GAUGAACGCUGGCGGCGUGCCUAAUACAUGCAAGUCGAGCGAACGGACGAGAAGCUUGCUUUUCUGAUGUUAGCGGCGGACGGGUGAGUAACACGUGGAUAACCUACCUAUAAGACUGGGAUAACUUCGGGAAACCGGAGCUAAUACCGGAUAAUAUUUUGAACCGCAUGGUUCAAAAGUGAAAGACGGUCUUGCUGUCACUUAUAGAUGGAUCCGCGCUGCAUUAGCUAGUUGGUAAGGUCACGGCUUACCAAGGCAACGAUUCAUAGCCGACCUGAGAGGGUGAUAGGCCACACUGGAACGGAGACACGGUCCAGACUACUACGGGAGGCAGCAGUAUGGAAUCGUCCGCAAUGGGCGAAAGCCUGACGGAGCAACGCCGCGUGAGUGAUGAAGGUCUUCGGAUCGUAAAACUCUGUUAUUAGGGAAGAACAUAUGUGUAAGUAACUGUGCACAUCUUGACGGUACCUAAUCAGAAAGCCACGGCUAACUACGUG
RNAcentral lists this ribosomal RNA (497 nucleotides) under uncultured bacterium. Its description in RNAcentral is "partial 16S ribosomal RNA". It matches the Rfam family "Bacterial small subunit ribosomal RNA", at positions 28 to 507 of the family's 1533-position model. The record is from RNAcentral.